AAAUGCAUCUUUAUUUGAUAUGACAUCAAUAGCAAGGUUUGAUGAGACUAUGAUUCUAAAAAAAUGAAUAAUCAUCAAUAGAGAUUUUAUUUUUAACAAAAUAAGAGUUAAUUAUCAAUAUCUUAAUAUCAAUAAUAAUAAGAAUUUUAAAGAUUUAUUUUUUUCACUACUAAGAAAUUUAUAAGAACAAUUGUAAUGGCUCUCAAGGUGGUAAAAUUCAAUUUUACCAAGGUCUUGAAAUCUUCUAUAAAAAUUCUAAAAAAAUUGUAAAAAAUAAUAUAAUAAUUUUAUAAUAAUAAUAUAUAUUCAAAAUUAUAUUUUUAUAUCUUGAUAAUAUUUUACAAUAAUAAAAUAAAUUUAUAUCCAUUAAAAAUUCUAUUUUUUAUAUAAUUAACAAAAAAGACAUGAAGUUCUCUUUUAUGCUUUUUUUAACAAGUAACUAAUAUUUAUAGUUUUUUUUAUAAGUGAUACAUAUAGAUAUAAGGCCAAUAUAAAUAUUAAUCUUUAAUACUCAAUAAUGAAUAAAAAUACUAAACCAACUAAGAUAAUUACUUCUAAGACUUAUUGAGACUCUAUUUCUACAACUAACAUUUUAAUUUUCUAUUUGUCUAAGGAUUUUUACACUACUCACCAUAUAUUAUGAUUUUAAGAUCUCUAAAUACAUCUUUUUGUUCUAAAAUAAUUAAUGAGUUGAUUUGAUGACUCACAUAUGGCACAUGCAAAUAAGCAAUACAAUCAAAUAUCUUUAGGUAUUGUAAUUUUGGUUUCUUCUUAUAAUAUAAUUCUAUUGGUAUCUUUCUAUUAUUGAAUUCACUUGGACACAAGUUUACUAAGUAGUUUGAUGUAUUAAUAGCUUUAGGCUAUAGGCUCAAAUAUAAUUUAUUUUCAUGAAUCAUACUUUUGGCUUUUUCUACUAUUCUUCUAUUGCACCUAUUAGCAAUACCAUUUUGCUAAGAAAUCAGAGCUUAUAUUAUUUGUCUUGUUAUUUUGCAUUUUUUAAAAAAAUAUUGAAAUUCUUUAAAUAAGAAUUAUCUAUUUUUUUUAUUCUAAGCAUGAGCAAUUUCUUAGUUGUUUUUUUUUUUCUUCAACUUGAGCUUUGAAUAUGUAAAACUUAGAGAAUGUUUCUUUUUUGGACUUAAGAAAGUAAAUCCAACUUUGGUAAGAAAAAUUAUUUUUAAAUACUACCAAGUACUUGGUCUUGCUUAGAGAUGGUUUUUAAAUUUAUCCAACUAUAUCUACAUGCACAAGUUGAAGUAGAUUUUUUGAUCUAUUAAGACUUUAU
RNAcentral lists this long non-coding RNA (1282 nucleotides) under Physcomitrium patens. RNAcentral's name for it is "long non-coding RNA (PPAT_LNC006860)". Lineage: Eukaryota; Viridiplantae; Streptophyta; Bryopsida; Funariales; Funariaceae. The record is from RNAcentral.